Molecule: unclassified non-coding RNA, 391 nt
Filed under: soil metagenome
Description: partial contains 5.8S ribosomal RNA, internal transcribed spacer 2, and large subunit ribosomal RNA
Rfam family: 5.8S ribosomal RNA (bases 1-122)
Source: RNAcentral
GAUGAAGAACGCAGCGAAAUGCGAUACUUGGUGUGAAUUGCAGAAUCCCGCGAACCAUCGAGUCUUUGAACGCAAGUUGCGCCCGAAGCCAUUAGGCCGAGGGCACGCCUGCCUGGGCGUCACACGUCGUUGCCCCCCCAUCUACUCCUUCGGGAUUGCGGGGGGCGGAUGAUGGCCUCCCGUGCGCCUCGCCGCGCGGUUGGCAUAAAUGCCAAGUCCUCGGCGACGCACGCCACGACAAUCGGUGGUUGCGAAACCUCGGUUGCCCGUCGUGUGCGGUCGUCGCGCAUCGAGGGCUCGAAAAAAUUGCCGGGUUCCGGCUCGGCUUUCAACGCGACCCCAGGUCAGGCGGGGUUACCCGCUGAAUUUAAGCAUAUCAAUAAGCGGAGGA